CCUACGGGGGGCAGCAGUGGGGAAUAUUGCGCAAUGGGCGAAAGCCUGACGCAGCGACGCCGCGUGAGUGAUGAAGGUCUUCGGAUCGUAAACCUCUGUCAGCAGGGAAGAACGGUCACUGUGCUAAUCAGCAGUGAAUUGACGGUACCUGCGAAGGAAGCACCGGCUAACUCCGUGCCAGCAGCGGCGGGAAUCCGGAGGGUGCGAGCGUUAAUCGGAAUUACUGGGCGUAAAGCGCUCGUAGGCGGUAUGUCAAGUCAAGGGUGAAAUCCCCGCGCUCAACGUGGGAACUGCCUUUGAAACUGGAAAACUGGAGUGUAGGAGAGGAUAGUGGAAUUCCUGGUGUAGGAGUGGAAUGCGUAGAUAUCUGGAGGAACAUCAGUGGCGAAGGCGACUAUCUGGCACGUAACUGACGCUGAGGAGCGAAAGCGUGGGUAGCAAACAGGAUUAGAUACCCGAGUAGUC
RNAcentral lists this ribosomal RNA (465 nucleotides) under uncultured bacterium. Its description in RNAcentral is "partial 16S ribosomal RNA". It matches the Rfam family "Bacterial small subunit ribosomal RNA", at positions 338 to 795 of the family's 1533-position model. The record is from RNAcentral.